Molecule: long non-coding RNA, 205 nt
Filed under: Oryza brachyantha (malo sina)
Lineage: Eukaryota; Viridiplantae; Streptophyta; Magnoliopsida; Poales; Poaceae
Description: long non-coding RNA (OBRA_LNC003655)
Source: RNAcentral
CGCCGGUCCCUCUUCGCCUUUGCUCGCCUCUGCACGCGCAGGUCGCCACCGCUGUCGGAGUGCGCCGCCUCUUCCCGAUCCCCUCCCCUUCCUCUCCUUGCCGCUGCCGCCCCGCUCUCGGGCCGGCGUCACCUCGCUGCGCCGUCCGCGUUGCGCCACUCCCCUGUCGCACGCCACCGCUCUCCGUCGUCUCGCCGUGGCUCCC